Molecule: non-coding RNA, 45 nt
Organism: Ailuropoda melanoleuca (giant panda)
Lineage: Eukaryota; Metazoa; Chordata; Mammalia; Carnivora; Ursidae
Source: Rfam
GCUAAGGCUUUUUUAAAAGCCAUCCUCUCUCAGAUUAGUAAAUUU